UAUAUUUUUAUGCCAUUUGGAAAUAACCUAUGGUUGAAAAAUGGCCAGAGGGAUAAGAUUCCCCAAUUUCUCCCGUCGCUUUGAGAAGGACGCCAUGGCGUGCUGGACGCCGGGAGGUGCGAACCGCCGCCGGGCCGAAGGCCGUGGACGUCGCGUUGCUGGAGGGCAUUGUGGCCGCGACCGCCGAAGAGCGCUUAGCCGGAUGGCCUCGGGCGCUUGAGGCCGCGUUCGUGCUGGCUCUGAGGACCACGCCGGAUGGCUGAGAUCGCCGCAUCUGGAGGCAGCGCCGGCCGCAUCGGGCUGCAGAGUUUGGAUUGGCCUCUGCCUCGCGCAGAGAAGAUGCAGUUUUGGAUAUUAAUUUUCAUCUUCUUGUCUCAACACUUCCUCUCAUCUUGCCUUGAUCUCUAUGUUUGCAGAUUUUCUGUUCGGAGUGAUGUCGUUCUCGCCUCUCGGAAGAAGCGUGCCUUUUUCUGACGCGGAAUUGCUUUGAGCGUUCGGUGCUGCGUCCUGCAGCCGACGGCCGGUAGCAGCGCUACGAGCGCUCGGGAGGGCGAAGCCGCGCAGGGUCGGGAGCCGUCGCGCGCUGGGAGUCACCGGACCGGUGGGGAGCCGUAUGCAGAAGGUUCCAUUGGAGGGCGCCACUGCGUCGUGCACAAAGAGCGCCGCUUCGAUCCUAAAAGUCGCGUUCUUCUCGCCAUUGUUGAAGCGGUUGCCGCUGAUGGGAUUACACAUCACCGUUCUCUUUUUUCUCUAUUUGGAAUGCUUGCUGAUUCAGGGAAAAUACAAUCGGUCAAUGAAUCAGUGAUGCUAAUCAUAAAUAGACAAUCAAGUUGGCUCUCUCUCGA
Triticum aestivum (bread wheat) is the source of this 845-nucleotide long non-coding RNA. RefSeq lists it as uncharacterized. NCBI's taxonomy places the organism in Eukaryota, Viridiplantae, Streptophyta, Magnoliopsida, Poales, Poaceae. The transcript is spliced from 2 exons. The record is from RefSeq and is a predicted model, not a curated record.